Molecule: ribosomal RNA, 1343 nt
Filed under: uncultured bacterium
Lineage: Bacteria
Description: 16S ribosomal RNA
Rfam family: Bacterial small subunit ribosomal RNA
Source: RNAcentral
GACGAACGCUGGCGGCGUGCUUAACACAUGCAAGUCGAACGGAAAGGCCCUGCUUUUGUGGGGUGCUCGAGUGGCGAACGGGUGAGUAACACGUGAGUAACCUGCCCUUGACUUUGGGAUAACUUCAGGAAACUGGGGCUAAUACCGGAUAGGAGCUCCUGCUGCAUGGUGGGGGUUGGAAAGUUUCGGCGGUUGGGGAUGGACUCGCGGCUUAUCAGCUUGUUGGUGGGGUAGUGGCUUACCAAGGCUUUGACGGGUAGCCGGCCUGAGAGGGUGACCGGCCACAUUGGGACUGAGAUACGGCCCAGACUCCUACGGGAGGCAGCAGUGGGGAAUAUUGCACAAUGGGCGGAAGCCUGAUGCAGCAACGCCGCGUGCGGGAUGACGGCCUUCGGGUUGUAAACCGCUUUUGCCUGUGACGAAGCGUGAGUGACGGUAAUGGGUAAAGAAGCACCGGCUAACUACGUGCCAGCAGCCGCGGUGAUACGUAGGGUGCGAGCGUUGUCCGGAUUUAUUGGGCGUAAAGGGCUCGUAGGUGGUUGAUCGCGUCGGAAGUGUAAUCUUGGGGCUUAACCCUGAGCGUGCUUUCGAUACGGGUUGACUUGAGGAAGGUAGGGGAGAAUGGAAUUCCUGGUGGAGCGGUGGAAUGCGCAGAUAUCAGGAGGAACACCAGUGGCGAAGGCGGUUCUCUGGGCCUUUCCUGACGCUGAGGAGCGAAAGCGUGGGGAGCGAACAGGCUUAGAUACCCUGGUAGUCCACGCUGUAAACGGUGGGUACUAGGUGUGGGGUCCAUUCCACGGGUUCCGUGCCGUAGCUAACGCUUUAAGUACCCCGCCUGGGGAGUACGGCCGCAAGGCUAAAACUCAAAGGAAUUGACGGGGCCCCGCACAAGCGGCGGAGCAUGCGGAUUAAUUCGAUGCAACGCGUAGAACCUUACCUGGGUUUGACAUGGAUCGGGAGUGCUCAGAGAUGGGUGUGCCUCUUUUGGGGUCGGUUCACAGGUGGUGCAUGGCUGUCGUCAGCUCGUGUCGUGAGAUGUUGGGUUAAGUCCCGCAACGAGCGCAACCCUUGUUCACUGUUGCCAGCACGUUAUGGUGGGGACUCAGUGGAGACCGCCGGGGUCAACUCGGAGGAAGGUGGGGAUGACGUCAAGUCAUCACGCCCCUUAUGUCCAGGGCUUCACGCAUGCUACAAUGGCUGGUACAGAGAGUGGCGAGCCUGUGAGGGUGAGCGAAUCUCGGAAAGCCGGUCUCAGUUCGGAUUGGGGUCUGCAACUCGACCUCAUGAAGUCGGAGUCGCUAGUAAUCGCAGAUCAGCAACGCUGCGGUGAAUACGUUCCCGGG